Molecule: transfer RNA, 67 nt
Filed under: Marmota monax (woodchuck)
Lineage: Eukaryota; Metazoa; Chordata; Mammalia; Rodentia; Sciuridae
Description: tRNA.Ala
Rfam family: tRNA
About the family: Transfer RNA (tRNA) molecules are approximately 80 nucleotides in length.
Source: RNAcentral
GGUUGUAGCUCAGUGGUAGAGUGCUUGCCUUGCAUGCAUGAGGCCCUAGGUUUGGUCCCCAGCACCA